RNAcentral lists this ribosomal RNA (253 nucleotides) under uncultured bacterium. RNAcentral's name for it is "partial 16S ribosomal RNA". It matches the Rfam family "Bacterial small subunit ribosomal RNA", at positions 524 to 776 of the family's 1533-position model. The record is from RNAcentral.
UACGUAGGGGGCAAGCGUUGUCCGGAUUUAUUGGGCGUAAAGAGCGUGUAGGCGGCCAGGUAGGUCUGCUGUGAAAACUCGAGGCUUAACCUCGAGAUGUCGGCGGAAACCAUCUGGCUAGAGUCCGGAAGAGGAGAGCGGAAUUCCUGGUGUAGCGGUGAAAUGCGCAGAUAUCAGGAGGAACACCAAUAGCGAAGGCAGCUCGCUGGGACGUUACUGACACUGAGGCGCGAAAGCGUGGGGAGCAAACAGG